Molecule: ribosomal RNA, 297 nt
Filed under: Amblyomma maculatum (Gulf Coast tick)
Lineage: Eukaryota; Metazoa; Arthropoda; Arachnida; Ixodida; Ixodidae
Description: partial 16S ribosomal RNA
Rfam family: Bacterial large subunit ribosomal RNA (bases 152-297)
Source: RNAcentral
UAAGGACAAGAAGACCCUAAGAAUUUAAAAAAUUUCUAUAAAAUGCUGCAUUUUAUUGAAAUUUUUUAAUUGGGGCGAUUAUUAAAUAUUAAAAACUUUAAUUUUUUAAAAAAGAACCAAUAAUAUUGGUUACUUGAAAAAAUACUCUAGGGAUAACAGCGUAAUAAUUUUUGAUAGUUCUUAUAGACAAAAUAGUUUGCGACCUCGAUGUUGGAUUAGGAUUCUUUUUUAAUGGAGAAGUUAAAAAAAGAAGUUUGUUCAACUUUUAAAAUCCUACUUGAUCUGAGUUCAGACCGG